GACGAACGCUGGCGGCGUGCUUAACACAUGCAAGUCGAACGGACUACUUUGCUUCGGUAAGGUGGUUAGUGGCGAACGGGUGAGUAACGCGUAGACAACCUACCUCUUAGAUGGGGACAACAUCGCGAAAGCGGUGCUAAUACCGAAUGAAGUGACUUUCCUGCAUGGGAGAGAUACUAAAGGUGGCCUCUAUUUAUAAGCUACCACUGAGAGAUGGGUCUGCAUCUGAUUAGCUAGUUGGCGGGGUAACGGCCCACCAAGGCGACGAUCAGUAGCGGGUCUGAGAGGAUGAACGGCCACAUUGGGACUGAGACCCGGCCCAAACGCCUACGGGAGGCAGCAGUGGGGAAUCUUCCGCAAUGGACGAAAGUCUGACGGGGCAACGCCGCGUGAGUGAAGAAGGUUUUCGGAUCGUAAAGCUCUGUUGUUUGAGACGAAUGUGCCUGUUUCGAAUAGGGAUAGGUAAUGACGGUAUUAAACGAGAAAGCCACGGCUAACUACGUGCCAGCCGCCGCGGUAA
This 520-nucleotide ribosomal RNA is filed under the name uncultured bacterium. RNAcentral describes it as "partial 16S ribosomal RNA". It matches the Rfam family "Bacterial small subunit ribosomal RNA", at positions 28 to 523 of the family's 1533-position model. The record is from RNAcentral.